RNAcentral lists this ribosomal RNA (478 nucleotides) under uncultured bacterium. RNAcentral describes it as "partial 16S ribosomal RNA". It matches the Rfam family "Bacterial small subunit ribosomal RNA", at positions 28 to 523 of the family's 1533-position model. The record is from RNAcentral.
GACGAACGCUAGCGGCGUGCUUAACACAUGCAAGUCGAACGGUAAGGCCCUUCGGGGUACACGAGUGGCGAACGGGUGAGUAACACGUGGGUGAUCUGCCCUGCGCUUCGGGAUAAGCCUGGGAAACUGGGUCUAAUACCGGAUAGGACCACUGCCUGCAUGGGUGGUGGUGGAAAGCUUUUGCGGUGUGGGAUGGGCCCGCGGCCUAUCAGCUUGUUGGUGGGGUGAUGGCCUACCAAGGCGACGACGGGUAGCCGGCCUGAGAGGGUGACCGGCCACACUGGGACUGAGAUACGGCCCAGACUCCUACGGGAGGCAGCAGUGGGGAAUAUUGCACAAUGGGCGCAAGCCUGAUGCAGCGACGCCGCGUGAGGGAUGACGGCCUUCGGGUUGUAAACCUCUUUCAGCACCGACGAAGCGCAAGUGACGGUAGGUGCAGAAGAAGGACCGGCCAGCUACGUGCCAGCCGCCGCCGUAA